UACGUAGGGGGCAAGCGUUGUCCGGAAUUAUUGGGCGUAAAGAGCUCGUAGGCGGUCUGUCGCGUCUGCUGUGAAAACUCAGGGCUUAACCCUGAGCUUGCAGUGGGUACGGGCAGACUAGAGUGCGGUAGGGGAGACUGGAAUUCCUGGUGUAGCGGUGAAAUGCGCAGAUAUCAGAAGGAACACCGGUGGCGAAGGCGGGUCUCUGGGCCGAUACUGACGCUGAGGCGCGAAAGCGUGGGGAGCAAUCCGG
RNAcentral lists this ribosomal RNA (253 nucleotides) under uncultured bacterium. Its description in RNAcentral is "partial 16S ribosomal RNA". It matches the Rfam family "Bacterial small subunit ribosomal RNA", at positions 524 to 776 of the family's 1533-position model. The record is from RNAcentral.